GUUGUCGCCAAGGGCCAGAGCGGGAGCCCUCCGGAAGGAGCAGGACGGGCGCGGGGGAGGUGGGGCAGCGGGUCCAGAGCCCCUGCUGGUGGGCUAGGCCGCGGUCUGCGCGGUGGGCUCUGCGGAAAUCCAGAAUGACCUGGACGAAAAGCGUGACCUGCGGGACGGUGAGGAAGCCGGUGCUGCUUGCCCGACGAGGCGCUGACUCGGACUUCAUCAGAGUCUUCGCUUUGGUGCAGGAAGACGGAACAGCAGGGAGAGACCCGCAGGCCGCUGUCCAGCUGUAGAGAGACUCGAGACCUGCUGGCCGCGUUCUGAAAACGCAACACCACGUCCCUCCGGGGCCGACCGGGAGGUACGAAUCACAGUUGAUUACUGUCGCUCCUUGUUAACCACAUUUAAUAACAACACGUUAUUUCAAAGCUACGAAAUAGAAAAUUUAAAAUAUGCUCGCUGUCAAAAAGAUGCGAAGUGAUGGACAUGUUAAUUAGCUUAAUAUAAUUAUUCCAUGAUGUGCACAAAUCCCAACAUCACAUUGGUGCCCACAAAAUAUAUGACUCUUACAUUCAAUUAAAAAUUUAAAUUUACAUGAUCUCUUAGAAAAAAAAAUCCCCCAAAGCAUCAAUGAGAAGUCCCUGCCCUGGCCGGCUGAAAGUGCUGGGUCUUGCGGUCAUUUCAAGGCGGUGCCCCAACGGCCCCUGCAGGGGCAUUUUCUGCUGGGCGCCCCUCACCACCAGGGGGCGUGUUCUGUCAUUUUCAGUUCCCCUGGUCGGAAGGUGUUUUGGAUGUAGAUACUUCCAGGACCCUUUCAUGGGGCAAAGAGAAGGGCCAUAUUUUAGUGUAUUCUGCAGACCCCUUAGCAGAGUCUGCUCAUGGGGGCUAUUGUCCCUAUUGUCACCUGGCAGCUGGAGUCCUGUGGGCGCCCCACACGCAGAUGGCCUUUAUGGCUCAGUGCUCCUGCCAUUGUGGUUCCAGAACCAGUAGGAACAUUGACUGCGGAGACUCACAGUCAGCCCAGCACCACACAGCCAGGACCCCAGUUCCAGCUCAGGCUCCCAGUGCAAUGGGCUGCCCAAAGGGAGGCUCCCUCUAUGGGGGGGGAGAGGACAGAAGAGCUGGCCUCUGAGCCUCACUAGGAAGGAUGACCAGGAGAUGGGGAAAGAAUUCAGGGCUUCAGAGACCACCUGGGCAGCUAUUUCUGGGACCAAGAAGAAGUAUGACCAGUGGCCAGAGAGGUAAGGUGGGUGCACAGAAAAGGCGUUUAAGACAGACUCAAAGUCAAAAAGGGCCUUUCACAGUGGCCACGCCUGUAAUCCCAGAGGCUUGGGAGGCUGAGGCAGGAGGAUCACAAGUUCAAAGUCAGCCUCAGCAACUUUAGCAAGACCCUGUUCAGAAAUAGAAUAUAAAAAGGGCUGGGGAUGUGGUUCAGUGGUUAAGUGCCCCUGGUUUCAAUCUCUGGUACCAAAAAAAAAAAAAAAAAUCAAUAAGUAUGGUGAGUCUAUGUUUCAAAUAUAUAAUAAUGACAAAUAAAACUCAAAAGAAAACGACCAACAGGGUCUAGCCAUGAUAAGUAAGUGAAAUCUCUGUGGCGCAGAAGCCAGCAGCAGUGGGAGAGGAGUUGCUGGGGCCUGCACUGUGCCCAGAGGGCACCAGGGAGACAUGUCCUCUCUGUAGGGUGGUUGGAAGUGAAGGGCCCCCUGCACAAGGCCCCACAGAGAGCGCCGUGGCUUGCAUCUGGAGCCCCAGAAGCUGCCGUGAUAGUGGGGCAGCCAUGCUUGGAGAAGGGGAGGCUGGACAUCCUCAGUGGAUCAGCCCAUCUGACGCAUUCCUAAUCUGAAUGGGUGGACAGCUGGUGGCACUAGGUGGAUGGGUGUGUCACAGGGAUGUGGUCUUGGGAACCCUGUCCCACCCAGGUCCUUCCCAUCUCUCUCUCUGCUGCCUGGCCUUCCUGAGCAAGCAGCCUGCCCCACCAUGUCCUCUGCCAUGUUCUGCAGGGGAGUCCACCAACCAUGGACUGAACCUCUGAAACCGUGAGCCAAAAUAAAUCUUUCCUCCUCUAAGUUGCUCUUGCCAAAUAUUUUGGUCACAGCAAUGAAAGGCUAACUGAGAGUGCUCUUAGCAACGGCAGUGAAGGGGCAUGCACCCCUGGGACCCUAGCUCCAUUCCAAGGACAUCGCUGGAGAAAUCUCACUCAUGAGCUGGACAGGAAUGUACAUCUCAGCUUUGAUCACACAAGUGCCAACUGCAGACAACCUAAAAGGUCAGCAGGGAAAGGGUGAAAUAAAUUGUGCUACACUCACACAAUGGAACAUUCUCUGUGGUGAACAGGGUGAUCUACAGCCCCGCGAAGCCACAUGCAGAGAUCUGGAUAAAGCCUGACAUGGUCAUGCCUGGCUUCUGUGGCAGGAAGCGGGUGUGGGGGACUGGAUAUUAGCAGGACCUCAGAAACAUGCCCAGACAGGUCAACCUGAAGGCGCUGUGCAUCAGGAAGGUGACUUAGCAGUUGCUAAGUCACAUACCCCAAGUCAGGU
Molecule: long non-coding RNA, 2531 nt
Filed under: Marmota monax (woodchuck)
Lineage: Eukaryota; Metazoa; Chordata; Mammalia; Rodentia; Sciuridae
Source: RNAcentral